Molecule: ribosomal RNA, 254 nt
Filed under: uncultured bacterium
Lineage: Bacteria
Description: partial 16S ribosomal RNA
Rfam family: Bacterial small subunit ribosomal RNA
Source: RNAcentral
UACAGAGGUCCCAAGCGUUGUUCGGAUUCACUGGGCGUAAAGGGUGCGUAGGUGGCAUGGCCAGUUUGAUGUGAAAGCUCAGGGCUUAACCCUGAAAUGGCAUUGAAUACUGCUGUGCUGGAGGUUUGGAGGGGGGACUGGAAUUCUUGGUGUAGCAGUGAAAUGCGUAGAUAUCAAGAGGAACACCUGAGGUGAAGACGGGUUGCUGGGCCGACACUGACGCUGACAGCGCGAAAGCCAGGGGAGCAAACGGG